RNAcentral lists this ribosomal RNA (1236 nucleotides) under metagenome. Its description in RNAcentral is "bacterial LSU rRNA". It matches the Rfam family "Bacterial large subunit ribosomal RNA", at positions 1564 to 2808 of the family's 2925-position model. The record is from RNAcentral.
UGAAUACGAGACGCUAAGGCGUCGAAGUAGUGUAUGUCAUACUUCCAAGAAAAGCUUGCACUGUCAUAAGUAAAAAAUGCCUGUACCAUAACCGACACAGGUGGGUAGGUAGAGUAUACUAAGGGGCGCGAGAUAACUCUCUCUAAGGAACUCGGCAAAAUAACUCCGUAACUUCGGGAGAAGGAGUACCUUAUUCUAUAAGGUUGCAAUAACAAGAUCCAAGCAACUGUUUAUCAAAAACACAGGUCUCCGCUAAGUCGUAAGACGAUGUAUGGGGGCUGACGCCUGCCCAGUGCCAGAAGGUUAAAGAAGUCGGUUAGCAUUAGCGAAGCUGGUAACUGAAGCCCUGGUGAACGGCGGCCGUAACCAUAACGGUCCUAAGGUAGCGAAAUUCCUUGUCGGGUAAGUUCCGACCCGCACGAAAGGCGUAAUGAUUUGGAUACUGUCUCGGAGAGGGGCUCGGUGAAAUAGACUUGUCUGUGAAGAUGCGGACUACCUGCACCAGGACAGAAAGACCCUAUGAAGCUUUACUGUAACUUGAAAUUGAAAUUGGACUUUAUUCGCGCAGUAUAGGUGGGAGGUGUUGAUUAUAAUCUUGCGGGAUUAUUGGAGCCAUCAGUGAGAUACCACUCUUGUAAUGUUAGAUUUCUAACUUUGAAUCAUUAUCUGGUCAAAGGACAGUUUCAGGCGGGCAGUUUGACUGGGGCGGUCGCCUCCCAAACGGUAACGGAGGCGUACAAAGGUUUCCUCUGAACGGGUAGAAAUCGUAUCUAGAGUGUAAAGGCAUAAGGAAGCUUGACUGUGAGACCUACAAGUCGAACAGGGACGAAAGUCGGUCUUAGUGAUCUGACGGUACUGAGUGGAAAGGCCGUCACUCAACGGAUAAAAGUUACUCUAAGGAUAACAGGCUGAUCUCCCCCAAGAGUUCACAUCGACGGGGAGGUUUGGCACCUCGAUGUCGGCUCAUCGCAUCCUGGGGCGGUAGUACGUCCCAAGGGUUGGGCUGUUCGCCCAUGGAAGCGGUACGCGAGCUGGGUUCAGAACGUCGUGAGACAGUUCGGUCCAUAUCCGGUGUAGGCGUUAGAAUAUUGAGAGGAGCCUUCUUUAGUACGAGAGGACCGAGAAGGACAUACCUCUGGUGUACCAGUUAUCGUGCCAACGGUAAACGCUGGGUAGCUAUGUAUGGAGUGGAUAACCGCUGAAAGCAUCUAAGUGGGAAGCCCACCUCAAGAUAAG